RNAcentral lists this ribosomal RNA (429 nucleotides) under Gemmatimonadota bacterium. Its description in RNAcentral is "Gemmatimonadetes bacterium partial 16S ribosomal RNA". It matches the Rfam family "Bacterial small subunit ribosomal RNA", at positions 355 to 776 of the family's 1533-position model. The record is from RNAcentral. Lineage: Bacteria; Pseudomonadati; Gemmatimonadota.
UAGGGAAUCUUCGGCAAUGGACGAAAGUCUGACCGAGCAACGCCGCGUGAGUGAAGAAGGUUUUCGGAUCGUAAAACUCUGUUGUUAGAGAAGAACAAGGACGUUAGUAACUGAACGUCCCCUGACGGUAUCUAACCAGAAAGCCACGGCUAACUACGUGCCAGCAGCCGCGGUAAUACGUAGGUGGCAAGCGUUGUCCGAAUUUAUUGGGCGUAAAGCGAGCGCAGGCGGUUUCUUAAGUCUGAUGUGAAAGCCCCCGGCUCAACCGGGGAGGGUCAUUGGAAACUGGGAGACUUGAGUGCAGGAGAGGAGAGUGGAAUUCCAUGUGUAGCGGUGAAAUGCGUCGAUAUAUGGAGGAACACCAGUGGCGAAGGCGGCUCUCUGGUCUGUAACUGACGCUGAGGCUCGAAAGCGUGGGGAGCAAACAGG